UCCAUCAUCCAACCAAUAUCAAGAAAUUAAUCCAAAAAUAAAGUAGCAUAUUGCAAUGAAUAUUGCAACCUCAUAAAGCUUUACAUCAAAAUAUCCUAUGAAUUAUCUAAUAUUUCUCCUAAUAAUAAGAGUAAUAAUAUAACUAAAAAGCUUCGAAGAUCUCUCAAGUUGUUCAAUAAUUAUCUUGACUGGGUUCAUGGCUUGAGUGAGAAGAAUGAUUGUUUGGAGAAUGCUGAUCACCUUCACUUGCAUUGUCACCAACCUGAAACAGAUUGCAAAAUUGUGUUUGUAGUUGUCCAGGAUAUUUUUGAGAAAUGAAUCCGUAUAACAUUUUUAGUACUUCUUUUAAUUGAGCAUAAUCAUUGUUCACUGUUUGAAGUUUCCCUUUCAACUCUUCUAUCUCUUUUAACUGAUUCCCACUAAUGGUAAACUCCCAUCUUGAUCCUACAUUUUGGGUUGUCACACCAAAAUAACUUGAAGGAGUUGGUCCAAGACCCAUACGUCGCACUCGACCAUUAUGCUCUGGACCCAUAAGUUCUUGAAAAAUUUGUUCAUGCAAUUGUGCUAAAUCAGUCCCAGAUCUUUCACUUCGCUCAGCUAUAAGAGCACGAGCCUUUUCCAUCAAGUCUCUGAUAUUGUCAUCCACAUAAGUGCCAUCUUUUCUCUUAUGGGUUACUUCAAAAAAUUCAAGUCUGUCUGGUGCUUUCCCAUUUGUCUUUUCCAUUUCCUUCAUCAAUCUUGCAUAACUUUUUCUACCCGUAGUAUGUGCAUUCUUUUGCUUUUUAGCAUUUGCAGUAUUGAUGGAACUCAUUUUCUCAAGAAGUUUCAAUAUCUGGGCAUGGAAUGGUUUAAACUCUUCUUUAUCCCAUCUAGUAAUAUUUAGAGGUGCAUAAAUGCCAUUGGUGGCAAUGGUUCCAAGAAAGGAUCCAACUAUGGCUGCUUCUUUUGAACAUGGUACUCCAAAUUCAUUCACUUCUAAAAAUAUCCUUUCGUUCUCAUCCAUGUUCCAAAUUGCAGCCAUUGUAGUUUUUCCACGUUUUCGGAAUCGCCUUCCACGUCCAUCAAUCAUAUUAGUGAUAUCUUCCUGAUUCACUUGAUUAGUUUGACUUUCAUGUUCAAAAGAACUCCUUGUUUGGUGCACUUCUUCUUGUUGGACUUCACCGGUAGAUUGAGAAUCAUUGCUCAUAAUCCUCAAACCUUGUAAGCUUCUAGAUCUUUGAAUCAUACUUUCAGCAGUAGAAUGAUGAUUAUAGCAUAAAUCACCACCAAUGAUGAAUAACCAGACCACCGAUGCCUUAGACACUGAUGAGUACCAGCGGAAAUCACCAAAGCUGAACCACGGAUAUUGCUUUGUGUGUACCCAAAUGAAUACAAGCAGAACAAUGAUGAAUUCUUUGACUACCGAUGCCUUAGAGAUUGAUAAGUGUCAACAGAAAUCACCAAAAUUGAACCAUGGCUGACGCUUUGUAUACCCAGUCGAUACUGCGUUUUUUUUUUUCAGAGAAAAUAGAUGGAGAACGGUUAGGGAAAAAUAAGAUUUUGAGUGCAUUUUUUUAGCGGAACGAGGACUCGUGCGUGGAAACGCCUUUUAAU
RNAcentral lists this unclassified non-coding RNA (1593 nucleotides) under Hevea brasiliensis (rubber tree). Lineage: Eukaryota; Viridiplantae; Streptophyta; Magnoliopsida; Malpighiales; Euphorbiaceae. The record is from RNAcentral.